This 332-nucleotide unclassified non-coding RNA is filed under the name soil metagenome. RNAcentral's name for it is "partial contains 5.8S ribosomal RNA, internal transcribed spacer 2, and large subunit ribosomal RNA". The stretch from base 1 to 120 matches the Rfam family "5.8S ribosomal RNA", at positions 35 to 154 of the family's 154-position model. The record is from RNAcentral.
GAUGAAGAACGUAGUAAAAUGCGAUAAGUAAUGUGAAUUACAGAAUUCAGUGAAUCAUCGAAUCUUUGAACGCACAUUGCGCCCGCCAGUAUUCUGGCGGGCAUGCCUGUUCGAGCGUCAUUUCAACCCUCAAGCACAGCUUGGUGUUGGGACUCGCGUUAAUUCGCGUUCCCCAAAUUGAUUGGCGGUCACGUCGAGCUUCCAUAGCGUAGUAGUAAAACCCUCGUUACUGGUAAUCGUCGCGGCCACGCCGUUAAACCCCAACUUCUGAAUGUUGACCUCGGAUCAGGUAGGAAUACCCGCUGAACUUAAGCAUAUCAAUAAGCGGAGGA